CCUACGGGUGGCAGCAGUGAGGAAUAUUGGUCAAUGGACGAGAGUCUGAACCAGCCAAGUAGCGUGAAGGAUGACUGCACUAUGGGUUGUAAACUUCUUUUAUAAAGGAAUAAAACGAGGCACGUGUGCCUUUUUGCAUGUACUUUAUGAAUAAGGAUCGGCUAACUCCGUGCCAGCAGCCGCGGUAAUACGGAGGAUCCGAGCGUUAUCCGGAUUUAUUGGGUUUAAAGGGAGCGUAGAUGGGUUGUUAAGUCAGUUGUGAAAGUUUGCGGCUCAACCGUAAAAUUGCAAUUGAUACUGGCAGUCGUGAGUACAGUUGAGGUAGGCGGAAUUCGUGGUGUAGCGGUGAAAUGCUUAGAUAUCACGAAGAACCCCGAUUGCGAAGGCAGCUUACUAAACUGUGACUGACAUUGAUGCUCGAAAGUGUGGGUAUCAAACAGGAUUAGAUACCCCAGUAGUC
RNAcentral lists this ribosomal RNA (460 nucleotides) under uncultured bacterium. RNAcentral describes it as "partial 16S ribosomal RNA". It matches the Rfam family "Bacterial small subunit ribosomal RNA", at positions 338 to 795 of the family's 1533-position model. The record is from RNAcentral.